CCUACGGGAGGCAGCAGUGAGGAAUAUUGGGCAAUGGACGAGAGUCUGAACCAGCCAAGUAGCGUGAAGGAUGACUGCCCUAGGGGUUGUAAACUUCUUUUAUAUGGGAAUAAAAUGUUCCACGUGUGGGAUUUUGUAUGUACCAUAUGUAUAAGGAUCGGCUAACUCCGUGCCAGCAGCCGCGGUAAUACUGAGGAUCCGAGCGUUAUCCGGAUUUAUUGGGUUUAAAGGGAGCGUAGGUGGAUUGGUAAGUCAGUUGUGAAAGUUUGCGGCUCAACCGUAAAAUUGCAGUUGAAACUGGCAGUCUUGAGUACAGUAGAGGUGGGCGGAAUUCGUGGUGUAGCGGUGAAAUGCUUAGAUAUCACGAAGAACUCCGAUUGCGAAGGCAGCUCACUGGACUGCAACUGACACUGAGGCUCGAAAGUGUGGGUAGCAAACAGGAUUAGAUACCCUAGUAGUC
RNAcentral lists this ribosomal RNA (460 nucleotides) under uncultured bacterium. RNAcentral describes it as "partial 16S ribosomal RNA". It matches the Rfam family "Bacterial small subunit ribosomal RNA", at positions 338 to 795 of the family's 1533-position model. The record is from RNAcentral.